GCUGAAGGCGUUGGAUCGUUGAAUGUCUUUAUUUGGCUCAUAUUCAUCCAUCACAUCAAACAUUUCUCUUGCUAUCUUAAUCAUGCAGGGUAGAACUUGUGCAGAUCUCUCAUUGUUCCCAUCACCAGCUGCAACACAGAUAAAUGUUCAGAGAUUCAAGGCAUGGUCCCGUGUUCUAACUUCAUUCAACAGACGAUGAAGUUCUAUGGUACCUCGUUUAUGCUCAGAGAAGCAUCGAAAGGUGGUAGGUCAAUGAUGUCUCUAAAGGUAAUGAUUUUCUUCCUAAGCUCCAUCAUCAAAAUGAAGUUGCCUGAAGAUCCACGUGAAUGUGAACAUUCCAUCUUCUGUUCUUCUGAUUCCUUCUUCUUAUCCUUGACCAAGUGGGCUCUUUUCACUACCUGCAAUAGUACUCUUGUUUCUGUCAGCAUUGAUAAGCCAAUGUUGUUACCGGAUGUUCCUAAUUUAUCAUACAUUAAAAUCAAGUUGACAUGAGCGAAAAACAUUAAAAAUUCCACAGAAUCAUAUAUCCCAUGCGUGAUUGUAUUAAUUUUAUUAGAUGGAAUAAAGGUUUCGAGAUACAAACUCUUGAAGCUAGAUUAUUAAGAUUCUGAUACAAAAACUAUUUCAAUUCUGCAAAUUUAGAUGAAUUCGAGGAAAAAGAAACCAAAGCUAACAUUAGAAAGUCUAUAGGAAUGAAAAAACAAAAAUGAUAGGGACUUAGUCAAGGAGCAGGGAAGUGCCAUGAAAUGGUUAUCAGAGGAACAUAAACCUUCCUGGCAUGAAAACACAUAUGACUACGCAGAAUAUAGUUGACAAGAUGUACAUAAAAUUUAGUGGAGAACUCAUGGUAUUAGCCUGUGGCUAAAGCAUUCUCUCACUUUGGAACAAAUAUUUUCUCUACAUUAUGAAUCAUAAUUACCAGCAUAUUAUCGAGAUAGCAAGUGAAAAACAUAAAAAAGAAAAACUGGAAAAC
Molecule: long non-coding RNA, 973 nt
Organism: Populus euphratica (Euphrates poplar)
Lineage: Eukaryota; Viridiplantae; Streptophyta; Magnoliopsida; Malpighiales; Salicaceae
Exons: 3
Source: RefSeq, a predicted model, not a curated record